Molecule: ribosomal RNA, 975 nt
Filed under: Escherichia coli
Lineage: Bacteria; Pseudomonadati; Pseudomonadota; Gammaproteobacteria; Enterobacterales; Enterobacteriaceae
Description: partial 23S ribosomal RNA
Rfam family: Bacterial large subunit ribosomal RNA
Source: RNAcentral
GGGUUGUGAGGUUAAGCGACUAAGCGUACACGGUGGAUGCCCUGGCAGUCAGAGGCGAUGAAGGACGUGCUAAUCUGCGAUAAGCGUCGGUAAGGUGAUAUGAACCGUUAUAACCGGCGAUUUCCGAAUGGGGAAACCCAGUGUGUUUCGACACACUAUCAUUAACUGAAUCCAUAGGUUAAUGAGGCGAACCGGGGGAACUGAAACAUCUAAGUACCCCGAGGAAAAGAAAUCAACCGAGAUUCCCCCAGUAGCGGCGAGCGAACGGGGAGCAGCCCAGAGCCUGAAUCAGUGUGUGUGUUAGUGGAAGCGUCUGGAAAGGCGCGCGAUACAGGGUGACAGCCCCGUACACAAAAAUGCACAUACUGUGAGCUCGAUGAGUAGGGCGGGACACGUGGUAUCCUGUCUGAAUAUGGGGGGACCAUCCUCCAAGGCUAAAUACUCCUGACUGACCGAUAGUGAACCAGUACCGUGAGGGAAAGGCGAAAAGAACCCCGGCGAGGGGAGUGAAAAAGAACCUGAAACCGUGUACGUACAAGCAGUGGGAGCCUCUUAAUGGGGUGACUGCGUACCUUUUGUAUAAUGGGUCAGCGACUUAUAUUCUGUAGCAAGGUUAACCGAAUAGGGGAGCCGAAGGGAAACCGAGUCUUAACUGGGCGUUAAGUUGCAGGGUAUAGACCCGAAACCCGGUGAUCUAGCCAUGGGCAGGUUGAAGGUUGGGUAACACUAACUGGAGGACCGAACCGACUAAUGUUGAAAAAUUAGCGGAUGACUUGUGGCUGGGGGUGAAAGGCCAAUCAAACCGGGAGAUAGCUGGUUCUCCCCGAAAGCUAUUUAGGUAGCGCCUCGUGAAUUCAUCUCCGGGGGUAGAGCACUGUUUCGGCAAGGGGGUCAUCCCGACUUACCAACCCGAUGCAAACUGCGAAUACCGGAGAAUGUUAUCACGGGAGACACACGGCGGGUGCUAACGUCCGU